This 449-nucleotide ribosomal RNA is filed under the name uncultured Alphaproteobacteria bacterium. RNAcentral's name for it is "bacterial SSU rRNA". It matches the Rfam family "Bacterial small subunit ribosomal RNA", at positions 94 to 578 of the family's 1533-position model. The record is from RNAcentral. Lineage: Bacteria; Pseudomonadati; Pseudomonadota; Alphaproteobacteria.
AGUGGCGCACGGGUGCGUAACGCGUGGGAAUCUACCCUUAGGUUCGGAAUAACUCAGAGAAAUUUGAGCUAAUACCGGAUAAUGUCUUUGGACCAAAGAUUUAUCGCCUUUGGAUGAGCCCGCGUAAGAUUAGCUAGUUGGUAGGGUAAAGGCCUACCAAGGCGACGAUCUUUAGCUGGUCUGAGAGGAUGAUCAGCCACACUGGGACUGAGACACGGCCCAGACUCCUACGGGAGGCAGCAGUGGGGAAUAUUGGACAAUGGGCGCAAGCCUGAUCCAGCAAUGCCGCGUGAGUGAUGAAGGCCUUCGGGUCGUAAAGCUCUUUUACCAGGGAUGAUAAUGACAGUACCUGGAGAAUAAGCUCCGGCUAACUCCGUGCCAGCAGCCGCGGUAAUACGGAGGGAGCUAGCGUUGUUCGGAAUUACUGGGCGUAAAGCGCGCGUAGGCGG